This 341-nucleotide long non-coding RNA is filed under the name Homo sapiens (human). RNAcentral's name for it is "HSALNT0031396". The record is from RNAcentral. Lineage: Eukaryota; Metazoa; Chordata; Mammalia; Primates; Hominidae.
GCCGGGGCCGCCACUGCAGCUGCUGCUGCCUGCUGGUUGCCGCGUCUUCCCGGAGGCGACUGCUGGAAGCUGCAGGGAACAGCUGCGGUGCUCUGCCAUAUUGUGUCUUCCCCGGCCGGUCCCUCGCCUCCCGGCCGAGCUGACGUUGGUUGAAGCCAUGGAUAACAGAACCCACAGAUGCAGAGGGCUGACUGUACAAGUCUGUCAAAAAACCAAACUGCUGGUUGGCUAAUAAUUGGUCACUGUAUGACUUAUAGUACAGGUGAUAUUACUUCUGAUUCUAGAUGAUCUUUUGUGGUACUGCUUUUUGAAAUCCGUGUUUCUGUGAAACGGAGGAGGAU